UUUAUGGAGAGUUUGAUCCUGGCUCAGGAUGAACGCUGGCGGCGUGCCUAAUACAUGCAAGUCGAGCGAACGGACGAGAAGCUUGCUUCUCUGAUGUUAGCGGCGGACGGGUGAGUAACACGUGGAUAACCUACCUAUAAGACUGGGAUAACUUCGGGAAACCGGAGCUAAUACCGGAUGAUAUUUUGAACCGCAUGGUUCAAAAGUGAAAGACGGUCUUGCUGUCACUUAUAGAUGGAUCCGCGCUGCAUUAGCUAGUUGGUAAGGUAACGGCUUACCAAGGCAACGAUGCAUAGCCGACCUGAGAGGGUGAUCGGCCACACUGGAACUGAGACACGGUCCAGACUCCUACGGGAGGCAGCAGUAGGGAAUCUUCCGCAAUGGGCGAAAGCCUGACGGAGCAACGCCGCGUGAGUGAUGAAGGUCUUCGGAUCGUAAAACUCUGUUAUUAGGGAAGAACAUAUGUGUAAGUAACUGUGCACAUCUUGACGGUACCUAAUCAGAAAGCCACGGCUAACUACGUGCCAGCAGCCGCGGUAAUACGUAGGUGGCAAGCGUUAUCCGGAAUUAUUGGGCGUAAAGCGCGCGUAGGCGGUUUUUUAAGUCUGAUGUGAAAGCCCACGGCUCAACCGUGGAGGGUCAUUGGAAACUGGAAAACUUGA
This 662-nucleotide ribosomal RNA is filed under the name Staphylococcus aureus. RNAcentral's name for it is "bacterial SSU rRNA". It matches the Rfam family "Bacterial small subunit ribosomal RNA", at positions 1 to 645 of the family's 1533-position model. The record is from RNAcentral. Lineage: Bacteria; Bacillati; Bacillota; Bacilli; Caryophanales; Staphylococcaceae.